UCCGACGCGCACGGCGCGGCGCGGCCGGGUCGAUGGGAACGCGUGCCCCGCUGGCUCUCGCUCGCUGCUGCCUCUCGCUCUGUGGUGGUGACCGUUCGAGCAACGAAGGCUCCGGCGCGGCGCUGCUCGCCGGUGCUCGAUCUCCCUGUUCUGGAGCAGGCGCAGGAUUGAUCGGCACCGGCGGUCAGUGCUCGACCGGGCGCCUUUAUCCGGGCAUGAGGUGACAGCGCCGCUGCGUCCUCCGACGACGUGCGGUGUGAUCACCAUAUGCCAGAUCGUCAGUUAUUGGUAUACGAGUGUAGGAGUCACAGGCAACAAGAAGGAUCAAGCUAGCGUACGCAUGGACGACGAUCGGCAACUUUCUAAUGGCGUCUGUCCUUUCCGGGAGAUUGCGUGCAUAGGUGGGCACAUAUGCGUACGUGCAUUAAGGAGAUGUUUCUAAUUUGCAUGCAAGAUGAUUAAAAGGCAGGUGGCCGGAUUGAUUAACUACAGAAUGUCAAUGCGUGCAUGUCAAUGAAGUCCGUUUAUGGUAAUAUGUGCAGAAAAGGUGCAUGUAUCCGUGAAAGACAAGAUGCAGCGACAUAGUGAUGUUUGGCCUGUUGAGAAUAAAAUAUUUCCUAAUCUAAUUGUCUUGGCCGAAACAAAUGCAAGACAGAAGAUUCAUUGAUGAGGAUUCUACGGAAAAUAAAGAUAGAGUCCAUGUAUCUUAGUAUUUCUUUUUAAUUUAGAUUUUGCUUGAGAGGCAAGUCAGACCAGACUAUAAAUAUGUACCUCCAUCCAUUGUAAAGGGUUUGUCACACGAUUAGAAGAAUUAUCUUCACCU
Panicum virgatum (switchgrass) is the source of this 823-nucleotide long non-coding RNA. RefSeq lists it as uncharacterized. The transcript has 2 exons. The record is from RefSeq and is a predicted model, not a curated record. Lineage: Eukaryota; Viridiplantae; Streptophyta; Magnoliopsida; Poales; Poaceae.